RNAcentral lists this ribosomal RNA (500 nucleotides) under uncultured microorganism. Its description in RNAcentral is "bacterial SSU rRNA". It matches the Rfam family "Archaeal small subunit ribosomal RNA", at positions 234 to 734 of the family's 1478-position model. The record is from RNAcentral.
AGUGGGUGUAGCGUACCUACUAGCCUACGACGGGUACGGGUUGUGAGAGCAAGAGCCCGGAGAUGGAUUCUGAGACACGAAUCCAGGCCCUACGGGGUGCAGCAGGCGCGAAAACUUUACAAUGCUGGCAACAGCGAUAAGGGAACCUCGAGUGCCAGGUUACAAAUCUGGCUGUCGAGAUGCCUAAAAAGCAUUUCAUAGCAAGGGCCGGGCAAGACCGGUGCCAGCCGCCGCGGUAACACCGGCGGCUCGAGUGGUAACCGCUAUUAUUGGGUCUAAAGGGUCUGUAGCCGGCCGACUAAGUCUCUUGGGAAAUCUGGCAUCUCAAGUGUCAGGCUGCCAGGGGAUACUGGUCGGCUUGGGACCGGGAGAGGUGAGAGGUACCUCGGGGGUAGGGGUGAAAUCUUGUAAUCCUCGAGGGACCACCAGUGGCGAAGGCGUCUCACCAGAACGGAUCCGACGGCAAGGGACGAAAGCUAGGGGCACGAACCGGAUUAGAU